This 433-nucleotide ribosomal RNA is filed under the name uncultured bacterium. RNAcentral describes it as "partial 16S ribosomal RNA". It matches the Rfam family "Bacterial small subunit ribosomal RNA", at positions 29 to 507 of the family's 1533-position model. The record is from RNAcentral.
AACGAACGCUGGCGGCAUGCCUAACACAUGCAAGUCGAACGAGACCUUCGGGUCUAGUGGCGCACGUGUGCGUAACGCGUGGGAACCUGCCCUUAGGUUCGGAAUAACUCCCCGAAAGGGGUGCUAAUACCGGAUAAUGUCUUCGGACCAAAGAUUUAUCGCCUUUGGAUGGGCCCGCGUUGGAUUAGCUAGUUGGUAGGGUAAAAGCCUACCAAGGCGACGAUCCAUAGCUGGUCUGAGAGGAUGAUCAGCCACACUGGGACUGAGACACGGCCCAGACUCCUACGGGAGGCAGCAGUGGGGAAUAUUGGACAAUGUGCGAAAGCCUGAUCCAGCAAUGCCGCGUGAGUGAUGAAGGCCUUAGGGUUGUAAAGCUCUUUUACCCGGGAUGAUAAUGACAGUACCGGGAGAAUAAGCUCCGGCUAACUACGUG